This 254-nucleotide ribosomal RNA is filed under the name uncultured Stenotrophomonas sp. RNAcentral's name for it is "partial 16S ribosomal RNA". It matches the Rfam family "Bacterial small subunit ribosomal RNA", at positions 99 to 354 of the family's 1533-position model. The record is from RNAcentral. Lineage: Bacteria; Pseudomonadati; Pseudomonadota; Gammaproteobacteria; Lysobacterales; Lysobacteraceae.
CGGACGGGUGAGGAAUACAUCGGAAUCUACUCUGUCGUGGGGGAUAACGUAGGGAAACUUACGCUAAUACCGCAUACGACCUACGGGUGAAAGCAGGGGAUCUUCGGACCUUGCGCGAUUGAAUGAGCCGAUGUCGGAUUAGCUAGUUGGCGGGGUAAAGGCCCACCAAGGCGACGAUCCGUAGCUGGUCUGAGAGGAUGAUCAGCCACACUGGAACUGAGACACGGUCCAGACUCCUACGGGAGGCAGCAGAC